RNAcentral lists this long non-coding RNA (351 nucleotides) under Pan troglodytes (chimpanzee). Its description in RNAcentral is "long non-coding RNA NONPTRT002365". Lineage: Eukaryota; Metazoa; Chordata; Mammalia; Primates; Hominidae. The record is from RNAcentral.
GAGGAGAGCGCUUGUCCCAGGUCCCUACCAGGUGCCCGUAGACGUCGGCAGGCUGGAGGUAGAAGGUGGAGUUGAGCAGCUCUUCCAGCCUGCGCGGAACGUCGUUCUCCCGGUAGUACUCCAUCGCCUGCUGCUUCAGCUUCUGCAGCUCCCUAGUGGUCCCACAGCUGCGGCCGCCGCCUUCUUCCUCCAUGAUGGAGAGUGUUGGCGUGUACGGAUUCUGUGGGUGUAAAGCAAAGAACAAAAUGAAGUGUGAUUCAAGGUGGGAAAUAGCCGCUUCAGGUAGGAAAUUAACUAAUGUGUGUAAGUAUCAAACUGGCAUCUGAAAUAACUGCCCCAGAACCUCAUUCC